RNAcentral lists this non-coding RNA (30 nucleotides) under Mus musculus (house mouse). Lineage: Eukaryota; Metazoa; Chordata; Mammalia; Rodentia; Muridae. The record is from RNAcentral.
UGUCUGUUUAUCAGAUAUUUUUGGCAGUUA